Molecule: ribosomal RNA, 520 nt
Filed under: uncultured bacterium
Lineage: Bacteria
Description: partial 16S ribosomal RNA
Rfam family: Bacterial small subunit ribosomal RNA
Source: RNAcentral
GACGAACGCUGGCGGCGUGCCUAAUACAUGCAAGUCGAACGCACUCUCGUUUAGAUUGAAGGAGUUUGCUCCUGAUUGAUAAACAUUUGAGUGAGUGGCGGACGGGUGAGUAACACGUGGGUAACCUGCCCUAAAGUGGGGGAUAACAUUUGGAAACAGAUGCUAAUACCGCAUAAAACCUAACACCGCAUGGUGUAGGGUUGAAAGAUGGUUUCGGCUAUCACUUUAGGAUGGACCCGCGGUGCAUUAGUUAGUUGGUGAGGUAAAGGCUCACCAAGACCGUGAUGCAUAGCCGGCCUGAGAGGGUAAUCGGCCACACUGGGACUGAGACACGGCCCAGACUCCUACGGGAGGCAGCAGUAGGGAAUCUUCCACAAUGGACGAAAGUCUGAUGGAGCAACGCCGCGUGAGUGAAGAAGGUUUUCGGAUCGUAAAACUCUGCUGUUGGAGAAGAAUGUAUCUGAUAGUAACUGAUCAGGUAGUGACGGUAUCCAACCAGAAAGCCACGGCUAACUACGUG